This 419-nucleotide ribosomal RNA is filed under the name uncultured bacterium. Its description in RNAcentral is "bacterial SSU rRNA". It matches the Rfam family "Bacterial small subunit ribosomal RNA", at positions 358 to 771 of the family's 1533-position model. The record is from RNAcentral.
GGAAUUUUGGGCAAUGGGCGAAAGCCUGACCCAGCAACGCCGCGUGAAGGAUGAAAUCCCCCGGGAUGUAAACUUCGCAAGAACGGGAAGAAUAAGUUUGUGCUAAUACCACAAGCGCUGACGGUACUGUUCGUAAGCUCCGGCUAACUCCGUGACAGCAGCCGCGGUAAUACGGGGGGAGCAAGCGUUGUUCGGGUUUACUGGGCGUAAAGGGCGCGUAGGCGGCCUCCGCAAGUCAGUUGUGAAAUCUCCGAGCUUAACUCGGAAAGGUCAACUGAUACUGCGGGGCUAGAGUGCGGAAGGGGCAACUGGAAUUCUUGGUGUAGCGGUGAAAUGCGUAGAUAUCAAGAGGAACACCUGCGGCGAAGGCGGGUUGCUGGGCCGACACUGACGCUGAGGCGCGAAAGCUAGGGGAGCGA